Molecule: ribosomal RNA, 253 nt
Filed under: uncultured bacterium
Lineage: Bacteria
Description: partial 16S ribosomal RNA
Rfam family: Bacterial small subunit ribosomal RNA
Source: RNAcentral
UACAGAGGUCCCAAGCGUUGUUCGGAUUUACUGGGCGUAAAGGGUGCGUAGGUGGUUGGGUAAGUCUGAUGUGAAAUCUCCGGGCUCAACCCGGAAAUGGCAUUGGAUACUAUUCGACUAGAGGGUUGGAGGGGGGACUGGAAUACUUGGUGUAGCAGUGAAAUGCGUAGAUAUCAAGUGGAACACCGGUGGCGAAGGCGGGUCUCUGGGCAACAACUGACGCUGAGGAGCGAAAGCGUGGGGAGCGAACAGG